RNAcentral lists this ribosomal RNA (972 nucleotides) under Talaromyces pinophilus. RNAcentral's name for it is "partial large subunit ribosomal RNA". It matches the Rfam family "Eukaryotic large subunit ribosomal RNA", at positions 53 to 1090 of the family's 3401-position model. Lineage: Eukaryota; Fungi; Ascomycota; Eurotiomycetes; Eurotiales; Trichocomaceae. The record is from RNAcentral.
UUGCAGAAAGAACCAACCGGGAUUGCCUCAGUAACGGCGAGUGAAGCGGCAAGAGCUCAAAUUUGAAAUCUGGCCCCUUUGGGGUCCGAGUUGUAAUUUGCAGAGGAUGCUUCGGGUGCGGUCCCCGUCUAAGUGCCCUGGAACGGGCCGUCAUAGAGGGUGAGAAUCCCGUCUGGGAUGGGCGGCCGCGCCCGUGUGAAGCUCCUUCGACGAGUCGAGUUGUUUGGGAAUGCAGCUCUAAGCGGGUGGUAAAUUUCAUCUAAAGCUAAAUACUGGCCGGAGACCGAUAGCGCACAAGUAGAGUGAUCGAAAGAUGAAAAGCACUUUGAAAAGAGAGUUAAACAGCACGUGAAAUUGUUGAAAGGGAAGCGUUGUCCACCAGACUCGCCCGGGGGGGUUCAGCCGGCACGUGUGCCGGUGUACUCCUCUCCGGGCGGGCCAGCAUCGGUUUGGGCGGCUGGUGAAAGGCCCCGGGAAUGUGCCACCCUUCGGGGUGCCUUAUAGCCCGGGGUGCCAUACAGCCAGCCUGGACCGAGGCCCGCGCUUCGGCGAGGAUGCUGGCGUAAUGGUGGUCAACGGCCCGUCUUGAAACACGGACCAAGGAGUCUAACAUCUAUGCGAGUGUUCGGGUGUCAAACCCGUCCGCGCAGUGAAAGCGAACGGAGGUGGGAGCCCCUCGGGGCGCACCAUCGACCGAUCCUGAUGUCUUCGGAUGGAUUUGAGUAAGAGCAUAGCUGUUGGGACCCGAAAGAUGGUGAACUAUGCCUGAAUAGGGCGAAGCCAGAGGAAACUCUGGUGGAGGCUCGCAGCGGUUCUGACGUGCAAAUCGAUCGUCAAAUUUGGGUAUAGGGGCGAAAGACUAAUCGAACCAUCUGGUAGCUGGUUCCUGCCGAAGUUUCCGUGGGAGGAAACAACGCUCCCGGAUGGUCGAAUUGUCUUUCCCCCUAUUACCAAAUUUGAACAUCGAUUUGC